This 73-nucleotide transfer RNA is filed under the name Deltaproteobacteria bacterium. RNAcentral's name for it is "tRNA-Gln". It matches the Rfam family "tRNA". Rfam says of the family: Transfer RNA (tRNA) molecules are approximately 80 nucleotides in length. Their secondary structure includes four short double-helical elements and three loops (D, anti-codon, and T loops). The record is from RNAcentral. Lineage: Bacteria; Pseudomonadati; Myxococcota; Myxococcia.
UGGGGCGUCGCCAAGCUGGUAAGGCAUGGGACUUUGGAUCCCAUAUUCGCAGGUUCAAAUCCUGCCGCCCCAG